RNAcentral lists this long non-coding RNA (590 nucleotides) under Mytilus galloprovincialis (Mediterranean mussel). The record is from RNAcentral. Lineage: Eukaryota; Metazoa; Mollusca; Bivalvia; Mytilida; Mytilidae.
GCGCCGGAAAGUAAACAUCUGUAGUCUGUACGUUGAUGGUUUUCUGUAACAAAAGAAGAGAAGAAGAAAUCCAACCCCCAUAAUAGAUCAUGAAUUUAUACAUUUUUAGAAUUAUUUAUAUUUAUUUUAUCAAAUAUUAUAGGAUGCCGAAUUGACUUUAAAUAGGUGCUGAUUUGACUAGUUCCGAUUUAACAAGGUGCCGAUUUGAACAGGUGCCGAUUUGACUUGAAGUUGUACCCAUUAUAAAUUGCCUUCCGACAGAAUUUCGGCUGUAAAAUCUCGUCUCUGUCCACAUUUCAGUCCUAACCUUUUGAAAUGUGAUGUAACAUCCCCCUGGCAAUCAAACAACUCUACUAAAUGUGUGCCAUGAAGAUGUAAACAUAAAACAUAAAUUGAUAAUGUUACAGACAGCAUCCAUGUUGUAUACAGCGCCAUCUAUAAAUAGUUCUAAAGGGAGAUAAGGUAAACUUCUUCUUCUUCUUCCAAAUUUUCACAUCCUUUGUAGGACAACCACACCGUUACGGCGUGUAGAACAAAACCCACCACCAUGAAUGUAGGAAUAUAAUAUGUACACUAUAUAUUGAAUAAUG